This 253-nucleotide ribosomal RNA is filed under the name uncultured bacterium. RNAcentral's name for it is "partial 16S ribosomal RNA". It matches the Rfam family "Bacterial small subunit ribosomal RNA", at positions 524 to 776 of the family's 1533-position model. The record is from RNAcentral.
UACGGAGGGCGCUAGCGUUGUUCGGAAUUACUGGGCGUAAAGCGCGCGUAGGCGGCUUUGUAAGUUAGAGGUGAAAGCCCGGAGCUCAACUCCGGAACUGCCUUUAAAACUGCAUCGCUUGAAUCCAGGAGAGGUGAGUGGAAUUCCGAGUGUAGAGGUGAAAUUCGUAGAUAUUCGGAAGAACACCAGUGGCGAAGGCGGGUCACUGGACUGGUAUUGACGCUGAGGUGCGAAAGCGUGGGGAGCAAACAGG